UGCAACGCGAUGGGAGAACCGGCAGCCGCCGGUGCCGAAGGAGCAACCGCCCCGGAAACUCUCAGGCCCAUGGACCACCGCGGACCG
This 87-nucleotide non-coding RNA is filed under the name Salipiger mucosus. RNAcentral's name for it is "Glycine sequence". It matches the Rfam family "Glycine riboswitch aptamer". From Rfam's summary of the family: This family represents the bacterial glycine riboswitch. Lineage: Bacteria; Pseudomonadati; Pseudomonadota; Alphaproteobacteria; Rhodobacterales; Roseobacteraceae. The record is from RNAcentral. RNAcentral also lists the same sequence under 1 other name.